RNAcentral lists this ribosomal RNA (506 nucleotides) under uncultured bacterium. RNAcentral describes it as "partial 16S ribosomal RNA". It matches the Rfam family "Bacterial small subunit ribosomal RNA", at positions 29 to 523 of the family's 1533-position model. The record is from RNAcentral.
AUUGAACGCUGGCGGCAGGCCUAACACAUGCAAGUCGGACGGUAGCACAGAGGAGCUUGCUCCUCGGGUGACGAGUGGCGGACGGGUGAGUAAUGUCUGGGGAUCUGCCCGAUAGAGGGGGAUAACCACUGGAAACGGUGGCUAAUACCGCAUAACGUCGCAAGACCAAAGAGGGGGACCUUCGGGCCUCUCACUAUCGGAUGAACCCAGAUGGGAUUAGCUAGUAGGCGGGGUAACGGCCCACCUAGGCGACGAUCCCUAGCUGGUCUGAGAGGAGGAGCAGCCACACUGGAAAUGAGACACGGUCCAGACUCCUACGGGAGGCAGCAGUGGGGAAUAUUGCACAAUGGGAGCAAGCCUGAUGCAGCCAUGCCGCGUGUAUGAAGAAGGCCUUCGGGUUGUAAAGUACUUUCAGCGGGGAGGAAGGCGAUAAGGUUAAUAACCUUGUCGAUUGACGUUACCCGCAGAAGAAGCACCGGCUAACUCCGUGCCAGCCGCCGCCGUAA